Long non-coding RNA from Syngnathoides biaculeatus (alligator pipefish), 473 nucleotides. RefSeq lists it as uncharacterized. The transcript is spliced from 3 exons. Lineage: Eukaryota; Metazoa; Chordata; Actinopteri; Syngnathiformes; Syngnathidae. The record is from RefSeq and is a predicted model, not a curated record.
CCAGGGACGCCCGCGUAGCUGCUGCGAGAUGCUGUGUCCGUUUGACACUUGACGGAACCACAGACCUCCCCCAAGGCCCAAACACUCGACAUGAAGACACGUCGAUUUCCUGUUGCGGUUACAUUCCUACGUACUCACAACUCGAUGAUGAAAAAUGAAAGCGGCUCCUUAAAACGUGUUCUUUGGGAUGUUGGAUGUUGAAUCUAAUUGUGAGCGCAGAUCUGGAUUAAACUUGUUUUGUCAGGAAGACGACCCAGCAUGUUGCAAACGUGGGAUGCAAAGAAAGGACGACAGCUUCCUGUAUUUGUCCUACAGACUGCGCAUAUUUCACAGAGGACUCACCUGCUUUGCCGGGCUCCACCUUCACCUUCACGUCAAGCUCCGCCCCCCACACUCGGUCCCCGGACGCCCCCUCCUCCCUCCUCAGCUCGAUGAAGCCCGGUCCGAGCGCGGCGACGGCGGUUCUGACAGAG